CAGUCGCCACGGUAACACGAAGGGGGCUAGCGUUGCUCGGAAUGACUGGGCGUAAAGGGCGCGUAGGCGGCGAUCAAAGUCAGGCGUGAAAUUCCUGGGCUCAACCUGGGGGCUGCGUUUGAUACUUGAUUGCUAGAGUGGGGAAGAGGGUCGUGGAAUUCCCAGUGUAGAGGUGAAAUUCGUAGAUAUUGGGAAGAACACCGGUGGCGAAGGCGGCGACCUGGUCCUUUACUGACGCUGAGGCGCGAAAGCGUGGGGAGCAAACAGGAUUAGAUACCCGCGUAGUCCCUGUCUCUUAUAC
Molecule: ribosomal RNA, 301 nt
Filed under: uncultured bacterium
Lineage: Bacteria
Description: partial 16S ribosomal RNA
Rfam family: Bacterial small subunit ribosomal RNA
Source: RNAcentral